AACGAACGCUGGCGGCGUGCCUAACACAUGCAAGUCGUGCGAGAAAGUUCCUUCGGGAGCGAGUAAAGCGGCGCACGGGUGAGUAACACGUAGGUAACCUGCCCCCCAGUCUGGAACAACUAGAGGAAACUCUAGCUAAUGCCGGAUGAGACCACGAUCCCUUCGGGGGUUGCGGCCAAAGAUGGCCUCUACUUGUAAGCUAUCGCUGAGGGAUGGGCCUGCGGGCCAUUAGCUUGUUGGUGAGGUAACGGCUCACCAAGGCUGUGGUGGCUAGCUGGUCUGGGAGGAUGACCAGCCACACUGGGACUGAGACACGGCCCAGACUCCUACGGGAGGCAGCAGUGGGGAAUAUUGCGCAAUGGGCGAAAGCCUGACGCAGCGACGCCGCGUGGGUGAUGAA
This 400-nucleotide ribosomal RNA is filed under the name uncultured bacterium. RNAcentral describes it as "bacterial SSU rRNA". It matches the Rfam family "Bacterial small subunit ribosomal RNA", at positions 29 to 412 of the family's 1533-position model. The record is from RNAcentral.